UACGUAGGGUGCAAGCGUUGUCCGGAAUUAUUGGGCGUAAAGAGCUCGUAGGCGGUUUGUCGCGUCUGCUGUGAAAACUCAGGGCUUAACCCUGAGCCUGCAGUGGGUACGGGCAGACUAGAGUGUGGUAGGGGAGAUCGGAAUUCCUGGUGUAGCGGUGGAAUGCGCAGAUAUCAGGAGGAACACCGGUGGCGAAGGCGGAUCUCUGGGCCAUAACUGACGUGGAGGAGCGAAAGCAUGGGGAGCGAACAG
Molecule: ribosomal RNA, 252 nt
Filed under: uncultured bacterium
Lineage: Bacteria
Description: partial 16S ribosomal RNA
Rfam family: Bacterial small subunit ribosomal RNA
Source: RNAcentral